This is a long non-coding RNA of Populus euphratica (Euphrates poplar), 621 nucleotides long. RefSeq lists it as uncharacterized. The transcript is spliced from 3 exons. The record is from RefSeq and is a predicted model, not a curated record. NCBI's taxonomy places the organism in Eukaryota, Viridiplantae, Streptophyta, Magnoliopsida, Malpighiales, Salicaceae.
GCCGGUCAUGGAUCUGAGAUUCAGGUCAUGAUAGUUGUUGACCAAGUUUGUAUAUGGAGGAGUGGUUCUCUGGCUUGGGUUUAUUUAUGGAACUCGCAAUGUUGGAAGGGUGAAGUUACCUCUUGGUGUAAUCGGUUCUCUGUUAUAGAUGGUUCUCCAACAUGCAAAACCAUUUAAACAGCUUCACCUCAUUGGACCCUUGUUCACUCCCCCUGCCAAUGUUACUGCCAUGGUGAAAGUUGCAAUAACAGCAGCAACUGAUCCAGUUUUCCCUCCUGGCAUCGUGGAUGUUUAUAGAAUGUCGCAUUAUAGCCAACAGCAAAGAGCAACAUGGAUUUGUUGAUAUUGAGAGUUCGUUUUGUUUUCUUCACCAAUAUAGAGUUCAUCAUCAAUAUCAAGAUUUCAUAUGUUUUCUUCUUCUUUGUAAGUUCUUAAAAUGUUAGCUAUUGGAGGUGGACUCGCAGCAUUUUGUGAACUGGAGACUCACAAAAAGGUUCCAUUAACAUAUCUAAUGAAAUAAAAAUACAUGAUAAGAACCAGCUCAUACCCUGUAUGUCUCUUGAUCAAAAGAGUUUAUGUAGGUCCCAUAAUAAAAAUCAUUAAAGCUAAAUUAUUUUUUGA